RNAcentral lists this ribosomal RNA (497 nucleotides) under uncultured bacterium. RNAcentral describes it as "partial 16S ribosomal RNA". It matches the Rfam family "Bacterial small subunit ribosomal RNA", at positions 28 to 507 of the family's 1533-position model. The record is from RNAcentral.
GAUGAACGCUGGCAGCGUGCCUAAUACAUGCAAGUCGAGCGAACAGACGAGGAGCUUGCUCCUCUGACGUUAGCGGCGGACGGGUGAGUAACACGUGGAUAACCUACCUAUAAGACUGGGAUAACUUCGGGAAACCGGAGCUAAUACCGGAUAAUAUAUUGAACCGCAUGGUUCAAUAGUGAAAGCCGGUUUUGCUGUCACUUAUAGAUGGAUCCGCGCCGCAUUAGCUAGUUGGUAAGGUAACAGCUUACCAAGGCAACGAUGCGUAGCCGACCUGAGAGGGUGAUCGGCCACAUUGGACCUGAGACACGGUCCAGACUCCUACGGGAGGCAGCAGUAGGGAAUCUUCCGCAAUGGGCGAAAGCCUGACGGAGCAACGCGGCGUGAGUGAUGAAGGUCUUCGGAUCGUAAAACUCUGUUAUUAGGGAAGAACAAAUGUGUAAGUAACUAUGCACGUCUUGACGGUACCUAAUCAGAAAGCCACGGCUAACUACGUG